This is a long non-coding RNA of Pseudopipra pipra, 5554 nucleotides long. RefSeq lists it as uncharacterized. The transcript is spliced from 2 exons. The record is from RefSeq and is a predicted model, not a curated record. Lineage: Eukaryota; Metazoa; Chordata; Aves; Passeriformes; Pipridae.
GGGUUUGAGAGGGAGGGGCUGCAGGGAGACACGGGGCUGGGGGAGCUCUGGGCACUGCGAGGACCAGCGUGAGGAAGGUGGGAUCGUGUGAGACGUGGGACCCCCCCCUUGCUGGAGAGGUCGGGGGACCGUUCUGUGCCCGGGUGGGGCAGUGGCACUGUGACCCCAGCCCAGGCGUCCCUGGGGGGGACACACCUUCACAGGAGAGUGGGGGAUCACAUUCAGUGCGUGUGGCCCCCCCAGCCUGUCCCUGGCAGUGGGGGGCAUUGCUGGGGGCCAUUAGGGAGGGAGCUGUGGCAGCUGCCCCGUGUCCCCCCCUCCUCCUGGGCUGGGCUGGGCCCAGGGAGGCAGUGGUGGCCUGUCACCACACACAGAGAGGUCUGUGGCCACCCCCCCCACAAAGGGACAGCAGAGGGGGGUCUCUGGGUGCCCUGGGAGCACAUCCAGCCCAGGAACUGCCCCACCUUGAGCUCCUGCCCCGGGGCUGCUCCGUGCAGUCACACCCACGGAACCCACACUGGCCCCGUCUCCUCUGCCAACUGUGCCUUGUUCAAAGCACUGGGAGCCCUGGAAGGAAGUGCUGGAAGUGCAAAGAGGCUCUGCCGGGGCACUUAAAUCCCUGGGGGCUGACCUUGGGCCAAAGGAGGUGACACCCUUAGCACAGGGAGCACUGGGUCCUGUGUUUACGUGGAGAUGAGGCUCUUUUCCGUAUUUUUUUCUUCUCCCACCCCAGCAGUGAAGCAGAAAGGCUUCACCUCACCUUCUUUGCUUCGUUGUUCUUAGAUCCAUCAUGUUGGGCCACGUUUGCAGUCAUCCCUCCCGGGUGGUCUGUGAGGUGUCAUGGAAGAGUGUGGGACGGGGACAAGCCUGAUGCCCUCAGGGAGCAAAGCUCCUCCUGGAGCAGUCCCUGGGGGCAGGAGUGGCCAGGCCUUGCUCUCACUCUCCUCCUGCACACUCGGAGCUGGUGAGGGGGAGGGAGGUGGGCCUGGGAGAGCGAGCUGGAUGGAUGUGACACAGCUGCAUGGGGCUCCCUGGGCCAGGCUGACGAUGGUGGCUUGGUUUGGGUGCUGGAGACCAGUGAGCAGAGCCCCCCAGUCACUGGCUUGGCUCCUGCAAACACAAAGCUUUGGUAAAAGAGGGAGCCUGUCGUGGGCUCCGUUCCCACUCGUGGGGGGGCUGCCUUCCCUCUCAGCAGCUGUGCAGUGAGGAGGGGGGUCUCCAGCUGCAGCAACCCCCUGGCUCGUGUAGCAGGCACCAAAACCUGCUCCCGGGUUUUUCCUGAAGACACUUCUGGGGGAAAUGGUGCUGCAGUUAAACCUGGGAGAGGAGCCCUGGGAGCCGAGCGGGGCGAGGAGGGAGGUCCCACACGGCACAGGAGGCACUUGCUGUCCCCAGUUAGGCACUGGUGGCGUGUUCCCUGCCCUGGGUUUGGGUGGCACAGGCUGAAAUGUGGGACCUGUGUCCCGAGGGCAGGGGUUCUGCUGCCUGGCAGGAGGAGCUUUGCUCCUGAGCCUGUGGUUUUACUGGGUCAGUGGAGACUUUGAUAAGAGUGGGCGGGUUCAUUUAGUGCUCAAAGAGCAUCAUCUCUGCCUCUGUCCUGCUCCCUUCCUUCCUUCCUCUGUCUCUUGUUUCCUUGGGAACCCUUGUUCUUGGCUGUUUUAGCCUUGAGGAAGUGGCUGAUCCAGCACAAUUCUCUGGUACUGGGUCACAUAUUCCAGCCUUGCUUUAGGCAUUGAGGCUUGUUGUGCUCUGCCCUGUCCAGAUUCCAAAGCUGGUUGACCUUAUCAGGCUCCCAAAUCAGGUUUGGAUUGGGAGGGACCUUAAAGCUCAUCCAGUCCCACCCUCUGCCAUGGGCAGGGUCACCUUCCACCAGCCCAGGUUGUUUCAAGCCUCAUCCAGCUUGGCUUUGGACACUUCCAAGGAUCCAGGGGCAGCCACAGCUUCUCUGGUCACCCUUCUGCAGCCCCUGAGUCUGGCUCAGCCUUUAAACCGUGCCUGGCAGAAGCUGCUCUGGCCACACACCAUCCACACGAGUGGAUUUUGGGGUCCUGGAGGAGGCAGUGUGUCCAGGGAAGGAGCACGUCCUCGCAGGGGAGGUGGUGUCCCUGCAGCUGCUCCAGCAGGAGCAGAGGAGCUUCGUGCAGGAUGAUCCACAGGUCCCUGCAGCCCUGGCUGGGUGUCCCCUGCCGUGGCUGCCGGGAGCACAGACGGGGAGCAGCGAGUCGGGAGCCCGGCUGGUUUCAGCUUUGCAGAGUGAACGUUUCUGCAGGGGGGACAGGCAGGGGUGUGCUCCUGCUGGCACAGGCUGGCAGGGGGAGAGGGACCCGCUCUUGAAGAGGCACCAAAGAGCUGCUGUGCCCAAGGAAGCCACGUGGCACAAGGUGCUGUCGGAGAGGGUUCAAAGGUUUAAUGGUACUGGAGACGUUUUCCUGGGGGUGCUGGUGGCAGCAGCUGGGCACGAUCCCAGCUGUGCCCAGGGGGGCAGGAGGCCAAUGGCCCCAGGGCUGUGGCAGCACUGCUGGGGCAGCAGGGCCAGGGCAGUGCCCUCCCUGUGCUGGCACUGCUGGGGCACCUCCAGGGCUGGGGCAGCUCUGGGACCUCACACAGGAGACACAGGGAGGGGCUGGAGCGUGGGCAGGGAAGGGAAGGGAGCUGGGAAGGGGCUGGAGCAGCAGGAGCAGCUGAGGGAGCUGGGGAGGCUCAGCCUGGAGCAAAGGAGGCUCAGGGGGGACCUUCUGGCUCUGCAACCCCCUGACAGGAGGGGGGAGCUGGGGGGGGUCGGGCUCUGCUCCCAGGGAACAAGGGACAGGAGGAGAGGGAACGGCCUCCAGCUGUGCCAGGGGAGGCUCAGGUUGGACAGGAGGAGGAAUUUCCUGCUGGAAAGGGUGGUCAGGCCCUGGCAGGGGCUGCCCAGGGAGGUUUGGAGUGCCCAUCCCUGGAGGUGUCCCAGGAAGGCCUGGCCGUGGCACUCAGUGCUCUGGGCUGGGGACAAGGUGGGGAUGGGGCACAGGGGGGAUCCAUGGGCUGGGAGGGCUUUUCCCAGCUGAAGGACUCUGUGAUUCUGUCCCUGUAACACUUCUGCAGCAGGGAAUUCUUUGGGUGUGCACAGGUACCUCUGGGGACAAGCUGAGCUGAACUGGGAAGGAAGGGAACAGCUCCAGCCUUGCAGGUGCCGUGUCCCAGCCCUGCCUUGUGGACACAUCCCAAGGGGGUUUGCUCCAGCCCCUCUGGCCUGCUGGCUGGGUGUGGGGGGUGGGUGGUGCUGGCAGGGGGGAGAUCUCAUGUCAGACAUGCCCUGGGCUGAGGGCAGGCCGUGGGUGCUGCCCCUGGAGCAAAGCACAGCGGGCUCUGCUCCGGGAGGGCUUGGGGUGUCCUCUGCCAAACCCAGCUCUCAGUCACUGUCCAGCACUGGGGGUCCCCUGCCAAGAAAGCUGCGGCCAAGGCACUGCUGUUUCCAGGGGGAACCUCCCAGUUGGAUGCCAGGGGUCAGAUCCUUAAAACCUGCCUGCAGAUCAGCUUCGGGCCAGAUUCUGGGCAACCUCCUCCUACAAAUUUAUGGGAAGGGGGAAAAAUGGGACCAUCUGGAACGUUCACAGAGGUGUCUGCUCCUCUCUUGCUUUGUCUGCUGCAGAAGGACUUUUCAUGAGGGCCUGGAGGGACAGGACACAGGGAAUGGCUUCCCACUGCCAGAGGGCAGGACUAGAUGGGAUAUUGGGCAGAAAUUAUUCCCUGUGAGGGUGAGGAGGCCCUGGCACAGGUUGCCCAGAGAAGCUGUGGCUGCCCCUGGAUCCCUGGGAGUGUCCAAGGCCAGGUUGGAGGGGGCCUGGAGCAACCUGGGCUGGUAGGAGGUGUCCCUGCCCAUGGCAGGGGUUGGGACUGGAUUCAUUUAAGGUCCCUUCCCACCCAAACCAUGCUGGGAUUUGAUGCUGUGACUGAGGGCACAGUGCUGCAGCUCCACGUGUCCUGGCAGUUACAGCAGCUCCUGUGGUCUGUCCCUGUCUUUCCAUAUUCCAGCCACGUGCCCUGCGUUCCCUGUGGCCUUUCCUCACCCGGUGCUGUCUGAGCUGCUUGUGAUUCCACAUCUUCCAGCUCUGCCCCAGGGGAUCCUGCGCUCUGCUGGUGUCUUCUGGUGUGAUGGAGCCACUGGUGACCAUUCCCAGGGCUGUGCUCCCUCUGUGGCCCCUGGAUCCAGGUGCUGUAGGAGCAGGGAAGGCCCAGGAGGGAGGAGUGUUGUGCAGGAGGCUCUGGCCGAGGGUGGGUCUCUGCUCCCGUGAGUUCCUGGCCGUGUGAGCGGGGUGGAGGGGCAGGUACAAACCUCUGUCGUGGUGUCACCUGGACCUCAGGCAUUGUCCUGGGGAAUCGUGGUCUGGGGGAAAUGCCAGCAAAGGAGGGUGUGGGAGUGCCACUCCUGAGCUGUGGCACGGGAGGGAUGGGAUAGGAAAGCAAUGUGUGUGGUGUCCGAGUCCAGAGGGGGGACAGGCCGGUGGCUCAUCCCAGAAGCUUCCAGGGCAAGUGUGAGUCCAGCAACAGGAGACUGAAGUGAGGCCUGGGAAGGGCCUUUUGUAGCAAAACUGCUGCUGAAACCCUCAAACCCUUCCAUUCUGUGUCCCUGUGUCUGAGCAGGAGCUGGUGGUGCCCUUAAGGGACCUAAAGGUGCAGUAGUGUAGAUCCUACAUCCCUCUGGAUGGUGGGAAUCCCUCUGGUGGAGCAUCCAGCAGGCCUCUGAUCCCUGUGCAGUGAGCUGGGCAGGCCCCAUCCAGAGAAGAUGCUUCCCACAUUUGAUUAUUCGAGCUAUUAAAGGAUUUUCUAACAGGAAAACAACUCUGUCCCUCAUUUCCAGUGUCAGAUGGGAAGAGCGUUCGCAGGAGAGCUCAGGAGACCCGGACAGGCAGCUGGCUCCAAGGAUUUCCAUUUAGUGUGGAAAGCACUUUUUUUUCUGGAUGCUCUUCUCCCUUUUCUGCUCCUUCCAGCUGGGAAUCCAGCUCCUGGUCCCGUGUAGUGUCCUCAGGAAAUCCCCUUGGCUCCAGGCCUGGAGUGCCGUGGGGAGCAGGGAUGCGGAUGCUGCCGCCGGGAGCCGGGAGCUGUUCCCGGCAGGAUUUUAUGGCUGCUCUGGAAAUGGGAGCCCUGAGGAGAGCUCUGUGGGGCGUUCAGAGGCACUGAUGUGCCCGUGGCAGCUCAGACUGGUGGAACUGGGAGCCAGGGCAGCAGGACAGGAAGCGUUUUCCACUGGGAUGGGGCUGUGAGGCUGGAGGCCACGGCGAUGGAAAGGCCUGGCCGGUGCCUCCCUCCAGACAUCCAGCUCGGCUUCUCCUUGGCAGGAAGGGUGAGGAGGAGGGGAGGCCUUUGAGCCCAGCUCUGGAGUCACUUAACUCCUUCCCCAGGGGCUCUUUAAUUGCUCUGAGACAGCUUUUAAACACGCCCAGCUUCCCAAGGCGCUGCCUGGCUGCGCCGUGAGGAAGUCCAGGAGUGCUCCCAGACUCCGUGAUUCCCAGGCUAGAGGGGUUUUUCUGCCUUCUUCUCCUGUUCUGUGAUUAAAUUCAGGGUUUUGAACCUC